GCACGUAUAACAUUCAAUUUGGCAAGUCCACUGAUGGCACAAACCCUAGCUUCAACAUGUAUGUUAGCAACAUGAAACAUGAACAUGAUCCUAACAUGAACAUGCCAUCAGUCAACAUGAUUCUAGCAUUCAUCAGUCAACAUGAACAUGCCAUCAGUAUAACAUUCAUCAGUCAACAUGAACAUGAUUCUAGCAUGAACACAACUACGAGCAUGUAGCACAAAUCUUAGGACACACAAGCAGUAGCACAAGAAAAUUAUCCUAGCACACACAUUGUACAAAACAAGAACAGAUCAGUCCGAUUGGAUUCGAUUAGGAUCGCAUCCAAUCGGAUCUGCUAGAAUCCUAUCGAAUC
Molecule: ribosomal RNA, 355 nt
Filed under: Triticum aestivum (bread wheat)
Lineage: Eukaryota; Viridiplantae; Streptophyta; Magnoliopsida; Poales; Poaceae
Description: partial small subunit ribosomal RNA
Source: RNAcentral